UAGGGAAUAUUCCACAAUGAGCGAAAGCUUGAUGGAGCGACACAGCGUGCACGAUGAAGGCCCUCGGGUUGUAAAGUGCUGUUGCAAGGGAAGAGCAGUUAGUUGAGGAAAUGCUUCUAAUCUGACGGUACCUUGUUAGAAAGCGAUGGCUAACUAUGUGCCAGCAGCCGCGGUAAUACAUAGGUCGCAAGCGUUAUCCGGAAUUAUUGGGCGUAAAGCGUUCGUAGGCUGUUUAUUAAGUCUGGAGUCAAAUCCCAGGGCUCAACCCUGGCUCGCUUUGGAUACUGGUAAACUAGAGUUAGAUAGAGGUAAGCGGAAUUCCAUGUGGAGCGGUGAAAUGCGUAGAUAUAUGGAAGAACACCAAAGGCGAAGGCAGCUUACUGGGUCUAUACUGACGCUGAGGGACGAAAGCGUGGGGAGCAAACAGGAUUAGAUACCCUGGUAGUCCACGCUGUAAACGAUGAUCAUUAGUCGGUGGAAAACUACUGACGCAGCUAACGCAUUAAAUGAUCCGCCUGAGUAGUAUGCUCGCAAGAGUG
RNAcentral lists this ribosomal RNA (539 nucleotides) under uncultured bacterium. RNAcentral's name for it is "bacterial SSU rRNA". It matches the Rfam family "Bacterial small subunit ribosomal RNA", at positions 355 to 896 of the family's 1533-position model. The record is from RNAcentral.